Molecule: microRNA precursor, 193 nt
Organism: Oryza rufipogon (brownbeard rice)
Lineage: Eukaryota; Viridiplantae; Streptophyta; Magnoliopsida; Poales; Poaceae
Rfam family: MIR812 microRNA precursor family
Source: Rfam
UUUAUGUGCAACCAUAAGUUUCUGUACCCAACUUUAAUUAUCCGUCUUAUUUAAAAUUUUUUAUAAUUAGUAUUUUUAUUGUUAUGAGAUGAUUAAACUUUAAUAAUACUUUAUACGUGACUUAUGUUUUUAAAUUUUUUUAAAUAAAAUGGACGGUUAAAGUUGCGCACGAAAAAUUAUGGCUGCACUUAGA